GCCCGGCUAGCUCAGUCAGUAUAGCAUGAGAUUCUUAAUCUCAGGGACAUGGGUUCGUGCCCCACAUUGGGUG
Molecule: transfer RNA, 73 nt
Filed under: Mesocricetus auratus (golden hamster)
Lineage: Eukaryota; Metazoa; Chordata; Mammalia; Rodentia; Cricetidae
Rfam family: tRNA
About the family: Transfer RNA (tRNA) molecules are approximately 80 nucleotides in length.
Source: Rfam by way of RNAcentral